AGGACGAACGCUGGCGGCGUGCUUAACACAUGCAAGUCGAGCGGAAAGGCCCUUCGGGGUACUCGAGCGGCGAACGGGUGAGUAACACGUGAGUAAUCUGCCCCUAGCUCUGGGAUAGCUCCGGGAAACCGGGAUUAAUACCGGAUACGACUGCUACGGACAUCUGUGGUGGUGGAAAGAACUUCGGCUAGGGAUGAGCUCGCGGCCUAUCAGGCUUGUUGGUGGGUAACGGCCUACCAAGGCGACGACGGGUA
Molecule: ribosomal RNA, 254 nt
Filed under: uncultured bacterium
Lineage: Bacteria
Description: partial small subunit ribosomal RNA
Rfam family: Bacterial small subunit ribosomal RNA
Source: RNAcentral